This 210-nucleotide long non-coding RNA is filed under the name Lathyrus oleraceus (garden pea). Its description in RNAcentral is "Pisum sativum (pea) long non-coding RNA (PSAT_LNC010164)". Lineage: Eukaryota; Viridiplantae; Streptophyta; Magnoliopsida; Fabales; Fabaceae. The record is from RNAcentral.
GAGUAUUGAAAAGGAAAGAGGGGGAAAAUUUCUUGAUCAUCUUGGGAAGCUCUUGCAUGUUAAUGUUUUGCUAACCAUUUGAGGAGUACCCAGUUAGAGGCAAUUAAUCAUCUCAUCACCAUCUUCUUCUUCUCCAUCUUGCUGGAUAGUUAGGUUCUAUUCAAGGUAGGGUUCAUUUAUAGAUGAGAUAACUUUUUAGAGUGAAUUGCA